Brugia malayi is the source of this 175-nucleotide non-coding RNA. The record is from RefSeq and is a predicted model, not a curated record. NCBI's taxonomy places the organism in Eukaryota, Metazoa, Nematoda, Chromadorea, Rhabditida, Onchocercidae.
CAGAGAGAGAGAGAGAGAGAGAGAGAGAGAGAGAGAGAUACAAACAGACAUGGACAAAUGCAAUUUUUUUUUAAAUAACAUAAUGGUGUGUUGAAGGACGGAAGAAGUAAAAUGAUGUCAUUUUACAAUUUGCAUUGAUUCCUCUCUCUCUCCCUCUCUCUCUUUCCCUUCUAUU